UUUGUUAGUCUGACUUUUUUCUUCCGGUCGUGCCGCUCUUUCCUAGUCUGGCUCGGAUUAAAUUUCAUACUGAUCUUGUUGAUUGGAUCUGCUUGUAUUUGGCUGUACGUAUUGUCCUUGCCGAACUGAUUUUCAAAUGGAUUGGUCCUGCCCUUACCGACUGCAUGUAUUAGUUUGCUAUUGCGCUCACCAAAUUGAUUUUCAAUUGGAUUGGCCUUGAUUGCCCUUGUUCAGAUAUCCCGUGAUUUGUUUUGACAGCAGUCGGAUUGAUUUUGUUUCCAUAGCAAAUACCGUGAUUAGAGCGAGAUUGAUUUGAUUCCGUAGCUGGUUGAUAGACCCUACGAUUAAAUCUAGACCGUACGAUAACUAUUGUAAAAUCUAGACCGUAGAAUUUCUACUACUACUUUAAUUAGAUAUUAGAUAAACCAUUUCGAACCUGCGUCGGUUUAUUGGUUUCUGCUGUGCGGUUGUGCGCUCCAUGGUCUGCAGUGAAAUUAAGGAGCAGAGAGUGUAUCUCACCGAUCAACCGGAUGCCAAUACACGGCCCUGACGGACCGAUCGAGAUUUGCUUUCAGCUGGAAGUUAAUCAGCUCCUCAGAUCAGCAGCACCCGCAAUUUUGAUGUACAUAAUUGAUUUUUAAUUGGUAU
This 648-nucleotide long non-coding RNA is filed under the name Brachypodium distachyon (stiff brome). RNAcentral's name for it is "long non-coding RNA (BDIS_LNC002833)". Lineage: Eukaryota; Viridiplantae; Streptophyta; Magnoliopsida; Poales; Poaceae. The record is from RNAcentral.